GGGCUCGUGGCUCAGCUGGGAGAGCGCCGCGUUCGCAACGCGGAGGUCGAGGGUUCGAUCCCCUUCGGGUCCACCA
This 76-nucleotide transfer RNA is filed under the name Acutalibacter muris. Its description in RNAcentral is "tRNA-Ala". It matches the Rfam family "tRNA". Rfam says of the family: Transfer RNA (tRNA) molecules are approximately 80 nucleotides in length. Their secondary structure includes four short double-helical elements and three loops (D, anti-codon, and T loops). Further hydrogen bonds mediate the characteristic L-shaped molecular structure. tRNAs have two regions of fundamental functional importance: the anti-codon, which is responsible for specific mRNA codon recognition, and the 3' end, to which the tRNAs corresponding amino acid is attached (by aminoacyl-tRNA synthetases). tRNAs cope with the degeneracy of the genetic code in two manners: having more than one tRNA (with a specific anti-codon) for a particular amino acid; and 'wobble' base-pairing, i.e. permitting non-standard base-pairing at the 3rd anti-codon position. Lineage: Bacteria; Bacillati; Bacillota; Clostridia; Eubacteriales; Acutalibacteraceae. The record is from RNAcentral. RNAcentral also lists the same sequence under 3 other names.